CAAACACGACUCAGCCCAGGGCAAGCUGUUGAGAAGCCAUGGAGAUGUUCCGCCUCAUUUCAACAAUUAGUGGAUUAUCCUUAUGCCAUUUGAUUAUCUUUGUUAUAGCCUUGUGCGCUUUACUGAAGCCUAAUUCCCGCUGAUUUCAAUGGAACACCUGCUGUAUUCUCCCAGCAAACACUGGGGCCAUGGUGUUUCUCCUCUAAUGACACCUCAUCAAUCCGCUCCUAUCAACGUCCCAGCCAUGGAGGUGACUCGGAGUGCUCAGAAGCUAUAGAAAAUGUCAACGUUUUGGGAGAAAAGGUGUUGCCAUGGCAAGGGACUCUAGAAGUACAUUCAGGCAACAAAACAGCAACAAAAAAAAAAGGAUAAAGCAAAAAUGAGGAACAUGGAAGAAAUGGGAGCAGGAGAAGACGAUAACUCGCUGACCUGGAGCUUCCCUGGGGAGAGCUGACAUGGUAGGUGGCUGCCUCCCUUCUCCCACCAUCACAUCCUGGUGAGCAGUUGGAGUCCCCUGUCCAGCUGCCAGCUUGUGCUGGUGCUGCCGUGGUACAAGUGUGGAGCAGCU
RNAcentral lists this long non-coding RNA (568 nucleotides) under Parus major (Great Tit). Its description in RNAcentral is "lncRNA (ENSPMJG00000014435.1)". The record is from RNAcentral. Lineage: Eukaryota; Metazoa; Chordata; Aves; Passeriformes; Paridae.